GCCGGGUGUGGUGAUGCGCGCCUGUAAUCCAAGUGACCGGGAGGCUGAGGCUGGUGGAGCGUUUGAGCUCAGGAGCUUUGAGCUGCAGUGCACUGUGCCGAUCGGGUGUCCGCACUAAGUUCGGUAUCGAUAUGGUGAUCCUGGGGCAGCCCGGGACCAGCAGGUCGUCUAAAGAGGGGUGCACCGGUCCAGGUCGGAGACGGAGCAGGUCAAAGCCCCCGUGCCGCUCAGUAGUGGGAUCGCGCCUGUGAAUAGACGCUGCAGUGCAGCCUGAGUAAUACAGCGGGACCCAGUCUCUU
Molecule: signal recognition particle RNA, 299 nt
Filed under: Cottoperca gobio
Lineage: Eukaryota; Metazoa; Chordata; Actinopteri; Perciformes; Bovichtidae
Description: Metazoan signal recognition particle RNA (ENSCGOG00000005061.1)
Rfam family: Metazoan signal recognition particle RNA
About the family: The signal recognition particle (SRP) is a universally conserved ribonucleoprotein. It is involved in the co-translational targeting of proteins to membranes. The eukaryotic SRP consists of a 300-nucleotide 7S RNA and six proteins: SRPs 72, 68, 54, 19, 14, and 9.
Source: Rfam by way of RNAcentral